CAUUACUAGACGUCAAUAAUAAUGUAAAUAGUUAUUAGUUAUAAGUUAUUAUUAGUUGAUUCAUAAUGUCAGGGAAUAUUUCCUAGGAGACAUUACUUGAUUCGGUAAAGCAUUACCGGCACACCGCAAACCUAUUGAAAUCGUGGCAUUACCCUUCUCUCGCAAACCUUAUACUCAGUUUACUGCAUCCUCAGAGAUAAGGAUGAUGUUUGGCAUGGGUUUGACUUUGUAGAUCCUGUUCUCUCAGUAAAGCUUCUGGGAUGAUAAAGCUGCUUUUAGCAACAGGUCUGCAGUUUCCGAGCCUCGACGGUAAGUUCCCUGAGAACAAGGGAUUUCCUACAUAUAUAAAACAUUAAGCUGUCUGAAAUUAGAUUGUUACGAAAGAGGGUGCAUGUCGAAGUUCUGAACAGCCUCAAGAUAUUAAUUCCUUUCCUCUGCGUUUACAAAUAUUUGCAUGAAAUGUAUUGUUUGCUGCGAAAUUCAGUGGGACUUUUAUCAAGAGUUCGUUUAGACCAGUUAUGUCUCGAAACUGGCAAGCAGGUUUAUCUUUAUUUGUCAUAUUUUCCAGAGUAAGCAACACAGAU
Macrobrachium nipponense is the source of this 584-nucleotide long non-coding RNA. RefSeq lists it as uncharacterized. The transcript has 3 exons. The record is from RefSeq and is a predicted model, not a curated record. Lineage: Eukaryota; Metazoa; Arthropoda; Malacostraca; Decapoda; Palaemonidae.